Molecule: ribosomal RNA, 1118 nt
Filed under: Shigella flexneri
Lineage: Bacteria; Pseudomonadati; Pseudomonadota; Gammaproteobacteria; Enterobacterales; Enterobacteriaceae
Description: partial 23S ribosomal RNA
Rfam family: Bacterial large subunit ribosomal RNA
Source: RNAcentral
UCCUGACUGACCGAUAGUGAACCAGUACCGUGAGGGAAAGGCGAAAAGAACCCCGGCGAGGGGAGUGAAAAAGAACCUGAAACCGUGUACGUACAAGCAGUGGGAGCACGCUUAGGCGUGUGACUGCGUACCUUUUGUAUAAUGGGUCAGCGACUUAUAUUCUGUAGCAAGGUUAACCGAAUAGGGGAGCCGAAGGGAAACCGAGUCUUAACUGGGCGUUAAGUUGCAGGGUAUAGACCCGAAACCCGGUGAUCUAGCCAUGGGCAGGUUGAAGGUUGGGUAACACUAACUGGAGGACCGAACCGACUAAUGUUGAAAAAUUAGCGGAUGACUUGUGGCUGGGGGUGAAAGGCCAAUCAAACCGGGAGAUAGCUGGUUCUCCCCGAAAGCUAUUUAGGUAGCGCCUCGUGAAUUCAUCUCCGGGGGUAGAGCACUGUUUCGGCAAGGGGGUCAUCCCGACUUACCAACCCGAUGCAAACUGCGAAUACCGGAGAAUGUUAUCACGGGAGACACACGGCGGGUGCUAACGUCCGUCGUGAAGAGGGAAACAACCCAGACCGCCAGCUAAGGUCCCAAAGUCAUGGUUAAGUGGGAAACGAUGUGGGAAGGCCCAGACAGCCAGGAUGUUGGCUUAGAAGCAGCCAUCAUUUAAAGAAAGCGUAAUAGCUCACUGGUCGAGUCGGCCUGCGCGGAAGAUGUAACGGGGCUAAACCAUGCACCGAAGCUGCGGCAGCGACGCUUAUGCGUUGUUGGGUAGGGGAGCGUUCUGUAAGCCUGUGAAGGUGUGCUGUGAGGUAUGCUGGAGGUAUCAGAAGUGCGAAUGCUGACAUAAGUAACGAUAAAGCGGGUGAAAAGCCCGCUCGCCGGAAGACCAAGGGUUCCUGUCCAACGUUAAUCGGGGCAGGGUGAGUCGACCCCUAAGGCGAGGCCGAAAGGCGUAGUCGAUGGGAAACAGGUUAAUAUUCCUGUACUUGGUGUUACUGCGAAGGGGGGACGGAGAAGGCUAUGUUGGCCGGGCGACGGUUGUCCCGGUUUAAGCGUGUAGGCUGGUUUUCCAGGCAAAUCCGGAAAAUCAAGGCCGAGGCGUGAUGACGAGGCACUACGGUGCUGAAGCAACA